GAUUAACGCUAGCGGCAGGCCUAAUACAUGCAAGUCGAACGGCAGCACGGGUAGCAAUACCUGGUGGCGAGUGGCGCACGGGUGCGUAACGCGUAUGCAAUCUACCUGUAACUGGGGAAUAGCCUUCCGAAAGGAAGAUUAACACCGCAUAAAAUCACGAAGCGGCAUCGUUUUGUGAUCAAAUCUCCGGAGGUUACAGAUGAGCAUGCGUGACAUUAGCUAGUUGGUGAGGUAACGGCCCACCAAGGCUACGAUGUCUAGGGGGUCGU
Molecule: ribosomal RNA, 269 nt
Filed under: uncultured bacterium
Lineage: Bacteria
Description: partial 16S ribosomal RNA
Rfam family: Bacterial small subunit ribosomal RNA
Source: RNAcentral